RNAcentral lists this ribosomal RNA (200 nucleotides) under uncultured organism. RNAcentral's name for it is "partial small subunit ribosomal RNA". It matches the Rfam family "Bacterial small subunit ribosomal RNA", at positions 1184 to 1382 of the family's 1533-position model. The record is from RNAcentral.
GUCAAAUCAUCAUGCCCCUUAUGUCCUGGGCUACACACGUGCUACAAUGGCCAGUAACAAAGGGAAGCGAAGCGGUGACGCGGAGCAAAUCCCAUAAAUCUGGUCCCAGUUCGGAUUGUGGGCUGCAACCCGCCCACAUGAAGUCGGAGUUGCUAGUAAUCGCGAAUCAGCAUGUCGCGGUGAAUACGUUCCCGGGCCUU